GCUGGGUGUGGUGGCGUGUGCCUGUAAUCCCAGCUACUUGGGAGGCUGAGACAGGAGAAUUGCUUGAGCCUGGGAGGUGGAGGUUGCAGUGAGCCGAGAUUGCGCCAUUGAACUCCAGCCUGGGCAACAGAGCAAGACUCCGUCUCAA
This 148-nucleotide non-coding RNA is filed under the name Pan troglodytes (chimpanzee). Lineage: Eukaryota; Metazoa; Chordata; Mammalia; Primates; Hominidae. The record is from Rfam by way of RNAcentral.